GUAUUGAUCGCGUAUCACCGCAAAAAGAAAAUACAUUCUACACUGUAUCAAGUUUUGUGUGAAAACGUGAGCCCUCCUGCAAAGGGGACCCACGCGGUGAUGCACAAGGGGUGAAAUGGAUGUGUGAGAGUGCUCAGGCGUGCACGACCUUUUGAAAGGUCAGCGACAGCCCUCGCACCCCCGUUGUAUGAUAAUGAUCCUUCCGCAGGUUCACCUACGGAAA
Molecule: unclassified non-coding RNA, 223 nt
Filed under: uncultured fungus
Lineage: Eukaryota; Fungi
Description: sequence contains ITS1
Source: RNAcentral